RNAcentral lists this transfer RNA (68 nucleotides) under Bronchocela cristatella (Green crested lizard). RNAcentral's name for it is "tRNA-Ile". The record is from RNAcentral. Lineage: Eukaryota; Metazoa; Chordata; Lepidosauria; Squamata; Agamidae.
AGAAAUGUGCCCGACCACAAGGACUAUUUUGAUAAAAUAGACAUAGAGCCAACAAUCUCUCAUUUCUA